RNAcentral lists this long non-coding RNA (1804 nucleotides) under Mytilus galloprovincialis (Mediterranean mussel). The record is from RNAcentral. Lineage: Eukaryota; Metazoa; Mollusca; Bivalvia; Mytilida; Mytilidae.
CUUAGUUUUGAGAACAACAUGCGUUAAUUGUGCAAGUAUAAUCAUUGAUAAAUCAUGCACAAGAUUGACUUUUUUUAAAAAGCCUAUAUAUUGAAAUUUUCUGAAAAUAUUGCAUGCAUUUAUUAAUAUGACCAAUUUCAAGAAAUGCGCAAAGAUGUGAGAUGAUUUAUAUAAUUGUAAUUUCAGGAAUUUACAGUAAAGGCUUUCAUCCCCACUGCAUUUUGCACUUUUCCCACGUCAGGAGCCAGAAGUUAUGGCCUUUGUGACCUUUGUAUGAUUUUUAUUUUAGUUUCUUUUUUAAUAUCAAAGAGUUUAAUAUGACGUCCAUUAUCACUCAACUAGUAUACAUUUUUGUUUAAUGGCAAGCUAAAGCAUGCCUCACAGGCAGGGAUCCAGGAGGGUCUGAGGGUUGGACAUGUUGGAACCCCCCUUUCUACAUUGUUCUUUAUUGGACGAUCAAUGCAUUUGAAUUUUAAAAUUAACACCAUUCGAACGUAAAUAUAUUUCAAAAUUAAGAUGCUGCAAUGUACAAUCCCAGUAGAGCUGGGAAGAUGGUAUAAGUCAUUCCAAAAGAAGAAAGGACAUGCAAUCUGUGUUUAACUGCAAUUGGCAAUGAAUUCCAUUAUUUAUUUGAAUGCAAUUCUUUAUUAGUUAAAAAAUAUCAGAAAUCAGCAUAUUCCAGAGUACUAUGUGAAAUAUCAGAAUUAAGCAAAAAUGAAAGGACUAACUGUCAUUGACAAAUAUUAACUUAUUAUUUAAAAAUGUGUCUAUAUUCAUUUCAAAGUUAACUAAAAUAUUAUAAUGUUAAAAUAUUAUAAUAUAAAGUAAUUUUCCAUAUAUUUUAUUUCUAAGUUGUUUUAUUUUUUUUUUUUAAUUGUAUGUGAUUGUAUUUUGUAAUUUACCUCUUGUUUCACAUGUCAAUGUGACGGAGUGUUUUUCAAAUAAAGCAUAUUGUAUUGUAUUGUAUUGUAUUGAAUGGGGACAUGUAGUUGGACCCCCCCCCCCCCCCCCCCCCAUUUGUCUUUGGUUAGGAACCCCUCCUCGGGUUGUGGGAUUUUCUCGUUGCAUUGAAGACCCAUUGGUGCCCUUUGGCUGCUAUCUGCUCUUUGGUCUUUUGAUACAUUCCCCAUUUACAUUUCGAUUUUAUAUUCAGUUCUAUUAUAAAUGUUAGACUUCUUGUUGAUUUGGUUUCACAUUUCGGCUUCGUCAGAGGAAAGCGUUCCAGAAAUAAAAUAGCCUUGCAAGACGUCAUAAUUAUUUGGACUAGAUUUUCACCACCAUCAACAUUGUAAAGCUUGUCUCACUGUGGAAGAAAUGAGUUUGGCGCGUUUACAAAAAUAUAAUUGUCUGUGCUGACAGGGGAGUGUGUGUGCAUACCAUUAUUUAAAUUUUCUAAACCUUCUUUUUCAAUAUUUUGUGCAUUUCUUGGUAAUAUACUGUCAGACCUCGAGUGCUGCUUUACAAAAACGAUCAACUUACAAGUAAUGUAGGGGAAGGAAACUAGCUAAAAAGACCAAAAAUAAGCCACAACUAAUGGGGUCUCAUUGGGGGUUCUGUUCACGGAUCUCGCUUUAUAGUUACUAUUUAUUUUUUUUAGAUUCCCGCAUCCCGCUUACACUAUGUAAGUAAACAAUUCUAAUAUUUUUGUAAUUUCCUAUGUCCCGCUAAACUUCAUUUCCAGUUUUCACGGCACAAUAAUUUGACUAUUAGUGACACUAAGUACUGUGGUAUUUUCAGUGGGUAUUUUACCAAUAAGGCCAUAUAUUUCGGUGUGUAGAAAUACCGCAAAGGAAUUCUUAAUGGC